UCCAAGAAGACAUGAGCCAUGUGCAAA
This 27-nucleotide non-coding RNA is filed under the name Homo sapiens (human). Lineage: Eukaryota; Metazoa; Chordata; Mammalia; Primates; Hominidae. The record is from RNAcentral.